CGCGCGACGACUAUUGGCGGCUCACGUCGUCCAAUCGCGCGCCGCCAUUGGCAUCGCGCCAGCGCCAGCGGAAAUAAUCGAACCGUAGUCAUGGCGGGUUGAGUGGGGAGGAUCGCCGCCAAGUCGCAACGUAUCGGAGGAGAAAGAGAGAAACAAGAAGAGAGAGAGGGAGAGAAGAUCCCCGACCGACUUCCUCGUAGCUUCCUCGUAAUCGCGAUCGUGAUUGUCGUCGAGUUAACCCCGGCCGAUCGUUUCCACUUGCGCGAAACGUAGAACAACGCGAUGUAAGUAACAGGCGGCCACGAGCUGCAAUGACUUUUCAUUUCCGUCCUCCUCACCCGGUUCCGAGGAAUUCACUUGCGUGAACUUUGCAGCUCUCCCGCGCCGCGAACGAUCCGCGGACACGUUCACACUUCACGCUGAGAUUCAAACGAUACGCCGUUAUGUUAGUCGUUAGCGCCACUUGACUUCCACGAAAAGUUCAAAAUGGUCGCCGUUGAUCACAUCGAUGUUCGAUUUCGCACCGAAUUUUUACUCGUGGGCGGCCAUAUACUUCACGGAUAAAUCGAUUUUCUCUGUUAGAUACACGGAUAACGCAGCUUAGGAUUCCAGCUGUCCAUGAACAGAUUGAAAGAAGUUGGGAAAUUGGGAAAAGCAAACUGGAAAUCCAUCAAACUGGAAUUCCAGUAAACUGAAAUUAUCAGCAAUAUAAAGGAGGAGGAUACCAAAAGAUAAAAAUCGUCGCAUGAUUCAUAUCGGGGAACGAGAUUUCUCGAUGAGCUUGGAGUGGCUUCUUCCUUGAUUAAUAUCUCAGGAUAUCAAUAUACAUUUUGGAGCACUGAAUUAUGAUCGCAAAUGAA
This is an RNA transcript of Acromyrmex echinatior (Panamanian leafcutter ant), 860 nucleotides long. RefSeq lists it as uncharacterized. The record is from RefSeq and is a predicted model, not a curated record. NCBI's taxonomy places the organism in Eukaryota, Metazoa, Arthropoda, Insecta, Hymenoptera, Formicidae.